This is a long non-coding RNA of Cebus imitator (Panamanian white-faced capuchin), 1957 nucleotides long. RefSeq lists it as uncharacterized. Lineage: Eukaryota; Metazoa; Chordata; Mammalia; Primates; Cebidae. The record is from RefSeq and is a predicted model, not a curated record. The transcript is spliced from 2 exons.
AUAAAUAAAUUUUUAACACUAGCUUUGGUGGGAACUAAUAAAGCAAGAACUCCCUUACCCAUGCUCUCCACAGGAAGGCAUUAAUCUAUUUAUGAGGGCUGUACUUACUGUAACCCAGACACCCCUCUAGGCACUAUCUUCAAACACCAUCACACUGGGGAUUAAAUUUCAGUGUGGGAUUUGGAGAGGACAAAUAUCCAAACCAUAGCAGUCUUAUAGUCUUUAAAUUAGAAUCAUAUGUGGAGUUUCAAAAAGGUAUUCCUAGGCCUCUCUCAGGUUAGAUUUGAGAACACGGAUCAACAACUUGAAUUUUUAAAACAGCAAAGUCUCAUACUACCUCUACAGAUGAUUCUGAUGCACAAUCUGGGUUAAGAACCACUGUCCUGUAGUCGUGAAGUCGAUAUAUUUUGGUAUUUUCUUUACCUCUUCUCUAAUUAACCAGUCUGAAGGAGUUUGAAUUUUGGGAGUCAUACAUUGUCUAUAAGAGAAACACAUUAACAUGCAUGCACAGAGUCCUUUGUAAUAAUUUGGGAUGAUUGACUAGAUGGCUCCAGGUAGGAGAGUCAGGCUUCAUGCAAGUUAUUCAGUCAUUGCAGUUUUGGAGGACUGACUCUUAACCCCAAUAAGAAAUCACUUGUGCUAUUAUAAAUUUAUAAAGCUAUUGAAAAGAGGUGCCUCCAGUAAAAAAUACAUAUGCCAUAUACGCACAAACAGCAAUAUCAAUCCCUCAUUUAUUUUUGGAGUUAGACCAAAAAUUAAAAGCAAAUUAUUUAAGAUAAAAUUACCAUUAAGGAGUAUAAUACUUUUCAAGGAAUCUUCAUGUCAGCCUCGAUCCCAGACCAAUAGAAUGAAAUAACAGGAAUGUUCAUUUCUCUGCAAAGAGAAAUCCAAAAAUUUGUCCUGUGUGAGAUUUUGCUUUUCCCAUCUUUAUGAAGUAUAUCAGCAGAUACAUAAGAAGCUGCUCAGUUAAGGCUUUUUUUUUUUUUUUUAAAGAGCAAUUGUUAGCAAUGUGGUGCUGAAGUCAAUGAAGGCUUAACUUUGAAGUGUCAGGAAUGAUACUCCCCCUCCCCUUCAUGUUAUUUUUAAGAAUAAGUUUUGUACAUUUCUCCAGGUAUUAAAGUGGAUGUCCACCUUUGCCAGAACCUAAAGGCAGAACCUAAUGGUAAAAUGAAGACAACCUGGUUGGUUCUAACAAUACUCAAAUAUUUUCAUCUAGAGUAAAUAUUUACUGUUGGCUUUGUAUUCCGGGAAUUAGCCCAAGACUAUGCUGCUCAAAUGGGUGCAAAUAGACUCUCAGGUUGCAAUAGCAUAACUAGGGAUAUUUGAAGCAAUAAUUGUUCCAUCUUGGAUUAUCGGUUUUGCUCUUGGAUUUGGUAAAGUUUUUGUUUUUCUACUCAUGCCAGUUGUAUCAAAAUGUUACUAGGUUAAAACAAAUACAAAUAUGUUUAUUCAUUACUGUGUCCCUGUAAUAAUGCCUGGCAUGUAGUAGGCACCUAAUAUUUGUUGAAAGAACGAAUUCUAGAAUAGAGUGCAAAAUUCUAGUGUAUUUCAAGGUAAAGCAUGAGAGUUCAAAGAAAUGUUCUAUUUGCCAUCUACAACUUUGAAUAAUGCUGCUCUGCUUUACUUCAUGCACUUUUGCCAGCAGAGGUGGAUGCCUUAGGGAAAAAAAUUGGAUAAAUGCUGAUCUAAGGCAGCAUAUCUACAUGGUUAUGUGAAUAUUUCCCAGUUGGGGUAAAACUAAGAGGAGUGAUCAAUAGCAUCUUAUCAAUUUAAAGGAUGAUUUCACCAAUUGUACUGUCAUAGUCCAGAGAUAUAUGUGCCAAGAAGCAGAGAUGCACUCUAGGAUUCCAGAAGAAAGAUGAUUUAGGACAUAAGCAUCAGGCAGCAAAAGUUGGAGGCAUUGUAUGAUUGUGUCAAAAUGAGAGUCACAUCAAGAACUGUAGGGACUAAUUCUAGA